RNAcentral lists this ribosomal RNA (427 nucleotides) under uncultured bacterium. Its description in RNAcentral is "partial 16S ribosomal RNA". It matches the Rfam family "Bacterial small subunit ribosomal RNA", at positions 355 to 774 of the family's 1533-position model. The record is from RNAcentral.
UGGGGAAUAUUGCACAAUGGGCGCAAGCCUGAUGCAGCCAUGCCGCGUGUGUGAAGAAGGCCUUCGGGUUGUAAAGCACUUUCAGCGAGGAGGAAGGGGUUGAGUUUAAUACGCUCAAUCAUUGACGUUACUCGCAGAAGAAGCACCGGCUAACUCCGUGCCAGCAGCCGCGGUAAUACGGAGGGUGCAAGCGUUAAUCGGAAUUACUGGGCGUAAAGCGCACGCAGGCGGUUUGUUAAGUCAGAUGUGAAAUCCCCGCGCUUAACGUGGGAACUGCAUUUGAAACUGGCAAGCUAGAGUCUUGUAGAGGGUGGUAGAAUUCCAGGUGUAGCGGUGAAAUGCGUAGAGAUCUGGAGGAAUACCGGUGGCGAAGGCGGCCCCCUGGACAAAGACUGACGCUCAGGUGCGAAAGCGUGGGGAGCAAACA